AUCUGUGAGAAUACCACGUGCCA
Molecule: non-coding RNA, 23 nt
Filed under: Arabidopsis thaliana (thale cress)
Lineage: Eukaryota; Viridiplantae; Streptophyta; Magnoliopsida; Brassicales; Brassicaceae
Source: RNAcentral